CUCAGAUGUUUGUCUUCUGAAAUUGGCAAAUAGAUGAGGGAAACUGAGAAAUGGACAGGAAUGGUGGAAAUGAAAAUUUUUUUCCCACAUGUCCUGAUACUGGUGGACCUGCUGGUGAUGACGGAUGGCAGUCUGCACCUAUGAUCUAGCUGUAUGAAGCAGACGGGUCAACGCUUUACCAGUGUCUAACCUGAGAUCCUUCCUGCUUAGCAUGGGAUGAGGAACUGUUUAAAAACCUGUAUCCACAAUCGGUUUGUGUGUGUCUGCAAAUUAAGGCUAAAUCUUCCAGAAAUUACUCCCACUUGAAGCCUAACCAGGUCAAGAUUGAUUGCCGAACCAAGCAUGUCAACCGACUGAACACGAUGCUUCAGAACAGACCCCUGGCUGCUUAACCUUGUCAUCUCUGUAGCUCAUACUCUUCCCUCUGUCAGGCCCUCCCUAAACUGAUAAAUGUCACAGAGAAAAUGAAACUGAUCACGCUCCCCUCUGGCAAAUGAAGCCAGAUACAGCUGCAUUUCAGUCUAGGAUCGAUACUGUCACUGGAACCUGGGUGGGUUUUGUUCCACCCUUCUGAGCACGUUGUGAGCACUCAUGGCAUUGUUCUGUCCUUUUCACUAAGACCAACAGCGUGGUUUUCCAAGCGGAUAAUAGGAUGUCCAAUUUGGAAAGGGAAAGUGGGAGUGAAAGGGAGACAAUUACUAUCAUGCAUAUUCUGGGGCUGUCACUGUGUAUGAUUCUAUUUUCCUAAGCACACAAUGCUUCUUGAAUUAAUGAUGGGUCUAUAUCCUGAUAGUCUCAUUGUAAAUUGGAAAAAUCAGCAAGCCCUAAAAUGCAUUUCAUGCUCUAAACUCAUAGACCUUCUUAGUUAAUCCACACAGCACAUCACAGAGCACUAUCUCUUUACCUCUCACAGUUUUACUGGUAGCCGCAGCUGAAGCCUGCCACUACCUAGCACUGGAAACAAUGGUCAACUGCAUGUCACUGUGGGUCCAGAAAAAAGUCACAAUGAAAAAACCUGAAGAAUGAUUUCUAAUGCUUUUGUUGCAUCAUAAAAUCCCCAAAUCAAAAGCCCAGAAUUCCCAUAUCUAACCAUUUUGUUCUGGGCAUCCUCUGUUCCUAUGGAGAGGAGGAGUCUCCCCCCUCACACCCCCAUCCCCAGGGCUACAAAUGUUAAAGUAUUUAACAGGUGGAGAACUCUGUGAAAGGGAGUAGCAAUCAAAGCCGGAAGGAUUGUUCUUACUAAGAGACUUUUGUUCCUAAUAAUAAAAAAAAAGUUCAAAAUAAAAUAAUAAAGCAAAACUUACAAAUCCAGAAUAUAUUUUUCUGGUUAAAGAGAUCGAUGUGGGCUGGUGUUCAGUCAAAAAAAUGUUUGCUACAUUAGCAUAAGGAUCUGAGUCUGAUCCCCAGAACCCACAUUAAGGAAAAGCCAGGCCUGGUGGUACACGUAUAUAAUUUCUGUGCUGGAAAGACUUAGUCAGCUCUCCCCAGGGCUCUCUAGCCAUCCAGCCUUGCCUUCUUCAUGACUCCAUUCCAGUGAGAGAAAUCUGUCUCCAAAACUAAGAUGGAUGGUGCCCGAGGGACAACACUCCAGGCUGUCCUCUAGCGGCCACAUGCAUGAAUAAACAUGGGCACCUGCAAACACGUGAGUGUGUACACACAAAGUAAGAUUAUUUUUAAAAAGUUCCCAAAAUUCAGAACAGGAGGCUGUAUAUUAGGGUCUUCACGUUCAUUCAAGCAGGAGGGCGGGGAAGGAAGCACCCCAAGAACAGUAUGGAAAGCCACGCCAGGAUACAAGGCCAGGCUACAAACAGUGAGAAAGGGAGGAAGUACAUCUUCAAAGCCCAGGGCUGCUUGCAAUUCUGCAGUAACAGGGUGUGAAUAUAAAUGGAUAUCCCCUUGGAAGAGGGACAUAAAUAUUGACUGUAGUUGGGUCCUGUCUUAAGAACAAGUAAUCUUACCAGGGCACACAAUGAGUCUUGGAGCACAAGGCAGCCUCAGAAAAUCCCCACAAGCUUUUGUGAACUGAAAUCUUCCUCUAAAACUACACCCAUGCUGAAGAUUCUACAAUGCUGAUUGGUUAGAACAGUGGUUCUCAACCUUCCUAAUGCUGUGACCCUUUAAUACAGUUCUUCAUGCUGUGGUGACCCCCAACCACAAAAUUAUUUUAUUGCUACUUCAUAAUUGUAAUUUUGGUACUGCUAUGAAUCAUAAUGUAAAUAUCUGAUAUGCAGGAUAUUUGAUAUGUGACACCCCUCCCCCGAAGGGGUUACGACCCACAGGUUGAGAACCGCUGGAUUAGCACUUCAUGGUUGAAAUGUUACAGAUCAGGAGAUGAAUUAUUUUGGGCUACCUUUAGUUUCCUAAAUACCCAUAUUGCUCACAUCUAUGUCUGACCUGACCCCUGUUCAGCUAUCACAUUAAAACCUUUGGCAAAUACCAGCCCAAAGUUAAAAACACCAUCAGCAUCUGAACAAGGAAAUUUCUUCACUUAGUUGGAAUCCACCUACCUAUUGUCGCUGGCAAUGCAUUUGAUAAGCGCUUUCAUUUAGACUGUCAUUGUUUCUUUCUGUGACUACAAAAGUGACAGCAAUCACUUCCAUAGCAGACAACAGAGGUCACUCCGAAUCUGUUCCCAGGCUGUGGUCACCAAGACCUGGCUCAGAAGAAGAUCGAUCCCUCCU
This is a long non-coding RNA of Peromyscus californicus insignis, 2681 nucleotides long. RefSeq lists it as uncharacterized. The record is from RefSeq and is a predicted model, not a curated record. The transcript is spliced from 3 exons. NCBI's taxonomy places the organism in Eukaryota, Metazoa, Chordata, Mammalia, Rodentia, Cricetidae.